UGGGGAAUAUUGGACAAUGGGGGCAACCCUGAUCCAGCAAUUCCGCGUGUGUGAAGAAGGCCUUCGGGUUGUAAAGCACUUUGGACGGGGAAGAAGGUUAUUAGUUUAAGAGAUGAAUAAUUUGACGGUACCCGUAGAACAAGCACCGGCUAACUCUGUGCCAGCAGCCGCGGUAAUACAGAGGGUGCGAGCGUUAAUCGGAAUUACUGGGCGUAAAGGGCGCGUAGGCGGUCUGACAAGUGAGAUGUGAAAUCCCCGAGCUUAACUUGGGAACUGCAUCUUAAACUGUCGGGCUGGAGUACUGUAGAGGAUAGUGGAAUUUCCGGUGUAGCGGUGAAAUGCGUAGAGAUCGGAAGGAACACCAGUGGCGAAGGCGACUGUCUGGACAGAUACUGACGCUGAGGCGCGAAAGCGUGGGGAGCAAACAG
This 428-nucleotide ribosomal RNA is filed under the name uncultured bacterium. RNAcentral's name for it is "bacterial SSU rRNA". It matches the Rfam family "Bacterial small subunit ribosomal RNA", at positions 355 to 775 of the family's 1533-position model. The record is from RNAcentral.